This 400-nucleotide transfer-messenger RNA is filed under the name Shiella aurantiaca. It matches the Rfam family "transfer-messenger RNA". From Rfam's summary of the family: Bacterial tmRNA, also known as 10Sa RNA or SsrA, is named for its dual tRNA and mRNA-like properties. Its role is to liberate the mRNA from a stalled ribosome. The record is from RNAcentral. Lineage: Bacteria; Pseudomonadati; Bacteroidota; Cytophagia; Cytophagales; Shiellaceae.
GGGGUCGGCUGGAAUUGACAGGUUGAGUAGUUACGUAUGUAAGCAUGCAGGCUCAUGGGAUGAGAGCCUUGAAAGAUGGUCCUAACAAACAAUUGGCGAAUCUAAUUACGCCAUGGCCGCAUAAUUUCUGAAGUUUAGUAGGAAAUAGCCACGGUUCCGGAUAAGAUUCGGAACGGCCAUCGCCCCUCAGUAGCUCUGUUCCGCGGUUGCUGGCCCAGGGGUGUCGAUCAGCAGAAAUAGUUUGGCAGAUGUUGUUAAUGCCAGGCGAAAUUAAAACAACUAAGGUGUAGCUUGGGCGUUGUCUACCGGGGUGCACUCGAAAACCAAAGACAACUAAGCAUGUAGAAGAUACGCUAGGUACCUUCUCUGGACCAGGGUUCGAAUCCCUGCGACUCCACAA